AACUUACAAAAAUCCGUCGAUUUUUUAAUCAUGAGG
This 36-nucleotide transfer RNA is filed under the name Schoenoplectus tabernaemontani. RNAcentral describes it as "partial tRNA-Leu". Lineage: Eukaryota; Viridiplantae; Streptophyta; Magnoliopsida; Poales; Cyperaceae. The record is from RNAcentral.